RNAcentral lists this ribosomal RNA (806 nucleotides) under uncultured Thiobacillus sp. RNAcentral describes it as "bacterial SSU rRNA". It matches the Rfam family "Bacterial small subunit ribosomal RNA", at positions 28 to 827 of the family's 1533-position model. The record is from RNAcentral. Lineage: Bacteria; Pseudomonadati; Pseudomonadota; Betaproteobacteria; Nitrosomonadales; Thiobacillaceae.
AUUGAACGCUGGCGGAAUGCUUUACACAUGCAAGUCGAACGGCAGCACGGGAGCUUGCUCCUGGUGGCGAGUGGCGAACGGGUGAGUAAUGCGUCGGAACGUACCGAGUAAUGGGGGAUAACGCAGCGAAAGCUGUGCUAAUACCGCAUACGCCCUGAGGGGGAAAGUGGGGGAUCGCAAGACCUCACGUUAUUCGAGCGGCCGACGUCUGAUUAGCUAGUUGGUGGGGUAAUGGCCUACCAAGGCGACGAUCAGUAGCGGGUCUGAGAGGAUGAUCCGCCACACUGGAACUGAGACACGGUCCAGACUCCUACGGGAGGCAGCAGUGGGGAAUUUUGGACAAUGGGGGCAACCCUGAUCCAGCCAUUCCGCGUGAGUGAAGAAGGCCUUCGGGUUGUAAAGCUCUUUCAGCUGGAACGAAACGGUACGCUCUAACAUAGCGUGCUAAUGACGGUACCGGCAGAAGAAGCACCGGCUAACUACGUGCCAGCAGCCGCGGUAAUACGUAGGGUGCGAGCGUUAAUCGGAAUUACUGGGCGUAAAGCGUGCGCAGGCGGAUUGUUAAGCAAGAUGUGAAAUCCCCGGGCUUAACCUGGGAAUGGCAUUUUGAACUGGCAGUCUAGAGUGCGUCAGAGGGGGGUGGAAUUCCACGUGUAGCAGUGAAAUGCGUAGAGAUGUGGAGGAACACCAAUGGCGAAGGCAGCCCCCUGGGAUGACACUGACGCUCAUGUACGAAAGCGUGGGUAGCAAACAGGAUUAGAUACCCUGGUAGUCCACGCCCUAAACGAUGUCAACUGGUUGUUGGG